UGAAUAAACUAUUUUUUCCCG
RNAcentral lists this non-coding RNA (21 nucleotides) under Caenorhabditis elegans. The record is from RNAcentral. Lineage: Eukaryota; Metazoa; Nematoda; Chromadorea; Rhabditida; Rhabditidae.